GGGAAGCCAAUGGGAACCUCCUCAUCGGAGGAGGCAAAGCCAUCGUGAGAAGCCUUUCUAUGGGAGGAGGAGAAAAGUAGCCAUCAAGAGAGAGGUGCUGUCAGGAAGGGACUCGUUGGUUGAGGAAAAUCGAGAGAAGCCUAACCGAAGGAGUGGAUGUUGUCCAAACAAAGCUCAUUGGAGGAGAGAACUCAUUAGGAAGAAACAUUUAUGUCGCAGAUCCAUUAGGAGGGGUGUGCCAUUAGGAGUAGGGCACGAGAGAGCCAUGUCUUUUCUAGAGUGGGGAGAUUUGUCAACAGGGUCGUCAUCGAGGGUG
This 316-nucleotide unclassified non-coding RNA is filed under the name Zea mays. Its description in RNAcentral is "misc RNA Zm00001eb129060". The record is from RNAcentral. Lineage: Eukaryota; Viridiplantae; Streptophyta; Magnoliopsida; Poales; Poaceae.